UAGUUUACUUGUGUUUACGUUAUAAUAUAAUCAUUAUAUAAAUAGCUAGUAAUUGAACCCCCAAUCUGUUCAUCUAAGAUUCUCCCCUGCAUAUACAUAAGAGCAACUUUUUUUUUGGUGUUGGCGUCUGAUUAGCUAGUUGGUGAGGCAAUAGCUUACCAAGGCGAUGAUCAGUAGCUGGUCCGAGAGGAUGAUCAGCCACACUUGGACUGAGACACGGCCCAGACUCCUACAGGAGGCAGCAGUGGGGAAUUUUCCGCAAUGGGCGAAAGCCUGACGGAG
Molecule: non-coding RNA, 282 nt
Filed under: Jatropha curcas
Lineage: Eukaryota; Viridiplantae; Streptophyta; Magnoliopsida; Malpighiales; Euphorbiaceae
Description: Bacterial small subunit ribosomal RNA
Rfam family: Bacterial small subunit ribosomal RNA
Source: Rfam by way of RNAcentral